Molecule: non-coding RNA, 109 nt
Organism: Pelobates cultripes (western spadefoot toad)
Lineage: Eukaryota; Metazoa; Chordata; Amphibia; Anura; Pelobatidae
Source: the annotation of a GenBank genome assembly
AUGUGUUUCAAAGACCUCCAAGUGCCCUCUAUUUUUCCAGAUUUUUCCUGAUUUUAUAUAUAUAUAAAAUCAGGAAAAAUAGAGGGCACUUGGAGGUCUUUGAAACACA